CAUGCCGUAAACGAUGAAUACUAGGUGUUGGAGGGUUUCCGCCCUUCAGUGCCGCAGCUAACGCAUUAAGUAUUCCGCCUGGGGAGUACGACCGCAAGGUUGAAACUCAAAGGAAUUGACGGGGGCCCGCACAAGCGGUGGAGCAUGUGGUUUAAUUCGAAGCUACGCGAAGAACCUUACCAGGUCUUGACAUACUGUGCUAACCUAAGAGAUUAGGCGUUCCCUUCGGGGACGCAGAUACAGGUGG
This 247-nucleotide ribosomal RNA is filed under the name uncultured Lactobacillus sp. RNAcentral describes it as "partial 16S ribosomal RNA". It matches the Rfam family "Bacterial small subunit ribosomal RNA", at positions 796 to 1041 of the family's 1533-position model. The record is from RNAcentral. Lineage: Bacteria; Bacillati; Bacillota; Bacilli; Lactobacillales; Lactobacillaceae.